Molecule: transfer-messenger RNA, 380 nt
Filed under: Patescibacteria group
Lineage: Bacteria
Description: BM507 sp002869265 Standard tmRNA
Rfam family: transfer-messenger RNA
About the family: Bacterial tmRNA, also known as 10Sa RNA or SsrA, is named for its dual tRNA and mRNA-like properties. Its role is to liberate the mRNA from a stalled ribosome.
Source: RNAcentral
GGGGAUGCCAGGAUUCGAUAAUAAGGUUAGCUUUAUCGCAUUCAGUUCAUGUUUCUCAGUAGUCAUGCCAAAAAACUGAAAUUCACAAGUGCAAAAUCUGCAUUAAGCAAAGUAAGCUUUAAAAUGCCUGCUUUCGCUCCUGUUGCCGCUUAAUAGCCGCGACCAUCCGUUCUAGUAACUCCUAAUAGCUAAAAACGGGUGUCAUAUUUAUUAGGAUAGGCCAAGCUCCCUCUCGAGGGUUCGGAUGAAAACUUAGAGAUCGUUGUGUCUGGUUUUGAUAGAUUUUCUACAUUCACAACUAAACACCAAAUCUAUCUAUUUCUGUAAAUUUGCCAUAAAGUUCUUGUUAGACAGGGGUUCAACUCCCCUCAUCUCCACAA